Molecule: long non-coding RNA, 968 nt
Organism: Dama dama (fallow deer)
Lineage: Eukaryota; Metazoa; Chordata; Mammalia; Artiodactyla; Cervidae
Exons: 4
Source: RefSeq, a predicted model, not a curated record
UGUGAUGGGACCAGAGGUUGGAAUGGGAAGAUGGAAGGGCUGCCUUUGUUUUCUUUCACUCCCGGGCCAGGAGCUCUUAACCUGAGGGAUUUGGAGAGCCCAGGGAGCCUGAGGCCGCCCUGAAGUGAUGCAUAAAAUGAGUCAGUGCACAAGCUUUUGUUCAGAUAAGAUUAAAUGCCCUGGAUUCACCCCUUCAGAAUAUUUCAUCAUUGUUCCCAGUCUGUCCAGAUCCUGUGCAUUGGAGCAGAACACUGCUGCAGUGAUUUCAUCACACUUCCAUUGCUACCAGUCCCUAGUAAACCCAGCUUUCAGAAUCAAGAGAAUCUGGUGGCUGACAAGGCUUAAAAACAUCCUAUGAGUUUGGAUCUACAAAAAGGCUGAAAGUGCCACCUACUGUCCACUCCGUAGAAAUGCCCAAAGAAUGUAGUCUGAGCCUUAUGGACUGAGAGUCACAGGAACUAGGAAUUUAAGCCUAAUCUUGAAUCUCAAGUCACUGAGUACAACCAAUGUUCAACCAAAUAUCCAGGAGCAAAUGGAACAGGCUUGGGAGUAAGCCCAAAGAUUAAUACAUGUCAGAGCUGAUGAAUGUUAGAGAUUACCUAGGUCAAUCUCCAAAUCCUCCAAAGAUGUGUGGCAUCUCCAGAUCAUCGCAGAGCCAGGCCCUUUCCAGCACACCCCUGUCACUCAUCCUUCAAUCAUCCAUUCAAUAGUGACAGAAUCAACUCAUGUCAGGUGCCAGCAAAGGACCAUGAGCAAGACAUAGCCCUGCUUUCGCCGCGGGGCAGGCGACUCGCACGGAGGGCCCGGGGCCGGGCGCGAUCCGGAGUGCCCUCCCCACAGGAGCUCUGGGCCCCUGGCCGCCGCAGCGGACGCAGGAACCUAGCAGCCGGGUGCACCCCAAGCAGCCGGGAGGCGGCGAGGAGAGAGCCGGGCGGCCUCCGGGCCCCGGAGACGGUCCCAAUCCCCCG